This 708-nucleotide long non-coding RNA is filed under the name Ananas comosus (pineapple). RNAcentral's name for it is "long non-coding RNA (ACOM_LNC002216)". Lineage: Eukaryota; Viridiplantae; Streptophyta; Magnoliopsida; Poales; Bromeliaceae. The record is from RNAcentral.
CGCCCAGAGGGAGAGAGAGACUCUCUCUCUCCCCCUCUUUCUAUCUGCUUUCUCUCUCUCUCCCUCUGUUCUCUCUCUCUCUCUCCCCCUCUCUUUGUCUGCUCUCUCUCUUUCUCCCUCUGUUCUCUCUCUCCUUCCCUCUCUCUCGCGCGCGAGGACCCCUAAAAUGCUGGGAGGGCGCCGUACAAACUCAAGAAUUAUAAGUUUUAUAGAUUAUCUCUCUUCCUUAUUUUUUUUAAUAAAUACAGCUUGCCUUCGGCAACUUGCAUUACCCACUAAAAAAUAUGUGAAUAUAUUUCUCCCUCCAUAUUGUUCAUAUGUGAUACUGGAGCUAGGGUUUGGGAUGGUAUGUGACGGUGCAGUUAGAUAGACAUGUUCUCAUGGCAGUAGCAUUGUGUUACGGUUAUCUUUUUAUUUAGACUCUUAUUAUUUAGUUUUCAAAUGUUGGCAGCUGUGGAUUUGUAAGAAAUUAACCGGCACAUAAUAACGCAGCGGAAAAUAAUUUUGCACUUUUAAUUUUUCGGAAGCCAAAUACAUAUUGUUGGGAACUAGAUGGAUCGUCCGUCAUGCGCUACCAACAAAGAUGCACCAAAAAAUAGAGAAAACACCGAACGAACGGUAAAAGAAAUAAAUGCAGAAAGAAAAAAAUCAAGAUUUACGUGGUUCGACAAUUGCCUACGUCCACAGGGAGAGCGAGAGAGAUGUAUU